Molecule: ribosomal RNA, 467 nt
Filed under: uncultured bacterium
Lineage: Bacteria
Description: bacterial SSU rRNA
Rfam family: Bacterial small subunit ribosomal RNA
Source: RNAcentral
CCCAGACUCCUACGGGAGGCAGCAGUGAGGAAUAUUGGUCAAUGGGCGGAAGCCUGAACCAGCCAAGUCGCGUGAGGGAAGAAGGCCCUGCGGGUCGCAGACCUCUUUGGACGGGGAGCAAGGCCGCCGACGUGUCGGCGGAAGGAGAGUACCCGUAGAACAAGCAUCGGCUAACUCCGUGCCAGCAGCCGCGGUAAUACGUAGGGGGCGAGCGUUAUCCGGAUUUACUGGGUGUAAAGGGAGCGUAGACGGCAAUGCAAGUCUGAAGUGAAACCCCAAGGCUCAACCAUGGGCAUGCUUUGGAAACUGUGUAGCUAGAGUGCAGGAGAGGCAGGCGGAAUUCCUAGUGUAGCGGUGAAAUGCGUAGAUAUUAGGAGGAACACCAGUGGCGAAGGCGGCCUGCUGGACGAUGACUGACGUUGAGGCUCGAAAGCGUGGGGAGCAAACAGGAUUAGAUACCCUGGUAA